Molecule: small RNA, 78 nt
Filed under: Flavobacterium sp. 81
Lineage: Bacteria; Pseudomonadati; Bacteroidota; Flavobacteriia; Flavobacteriales; Flavobacteriaceae
Also listed under: 1 other name
Description: Flavo-1 RNA
Rfam family: Flavo-1 RNA
Source: RNAcentral
UCCUAGCCCUGAUGGGAGGGAAAAUCCUUUUGUGCUGGGUUUCGGCACAAAAGAUUGGAAGGAACAGCAGGAAAUAGC